RNAcentral lists this long non-coding RNA (482 nucleotides) under Cicer arietinum (chickpea). RNAcentral's name for it is "long non-coding RNA (CARI_LNC002779)". Lineage: Eukaryota; Viridiplantae; Streptophyta; Magnoliopsida; Fabales; Fabaceae. The record is from RNAcentral.
UUCUAUUCUUCUUCUUUUUGAUCAUGUCAAAAGGGGGAGAAAAUUUGGUGUUGUUGUUGCAUUUCCAACCUUGUAGGCACUCAAAAACAAUUUUCAAAUCAUCACAUACAACGGGGGAGUAUGCACCUAUUACGGGGGAGCAAAGAUUUCAACAUCACACUCUCUUCACAACAACAUUUUGUCAUAAUCAAAAAGGGGGAGAAUGUAAACUACAUGUUUUUGAUGAUGACAAGACCACCAACUAUGAAUGUAAACUACAUGUUUUUGAUGAUGACAAGACCACCAACUAUGGACAAUGCAGCAAGAUCAAAAAGAAGAUCAAACCAUCUUGAAUAAGCUUCCAAAUCCAAAUAAUAAAUGAGUAAAUAUAAAGGUAUAUGAUACAAAUCAAUAGUUCAAAUACUUGAGAACAAUUCAUAUUUACAUAUGCAUUUAACAUGUUUUCGAAAAUCAAAAACAACAUUAACAAAUCAUUUAAAAUC